RNAcentral lists this transfer RNA (73 nucleotides) under Candidatus Acetothermia bacterium. RNAcentral's name for it is "tRNA-Lys". It matches the Rfam family "tRNA". Rfam says of the family: Transfer RNA (tRNA) molecules are approximately 80 nucleotides in length. RNAcentral also lists the same sequence under 3 other names. The record is from RNAcentral. Lineage: Bacteria; Candidatus Bipolaricaulota.
GGGCCGUUAGCUCAACUGGCAGAGCAGCGGACUCUUAAUCCGCGGGUUGGGGGUUCGAGUCCCUCACGGCCCA